Neltuma alba is the source of this 1287-nucleotide long non-coding RNA. RefSeq lists it as uncharacterized. The transcript has 2 exons. The record is from RefSeq and is a predicted model, not a curated record. Lineage: Eukaryota; Viridiplantae; Streptophyta; Magnoliopsida; Fabales; Fabaceae.
GAGAUUAGGCUGUAUGAUCUCCGCAUCUCCAUCAUAUCAUACUGACCACUUCUCUCAAUAAGAUGAUCUUUAGGUAUGUAGUAUCGUUUAUGUAAUCAGCAGUAGGUUUGAAGUUUUCCUUUCAAAAUUAAAUGAGAAUUGACGCUGCACUGUCGCAAGAAAUUAUUUAUGUUCAUCUUUCAAUGCUUCCUUUUCCAGUCAUUGAGCUGCAAACCACUUGAAUCCACAAAUGACCAGAAAAAGCAUUCAGAAAAUGUAUCAAAGCAGCAGAGUGUUGGUUCAAGUAAAGAAAUGGCGCGGUCUCAACCUCAAGAAUCUUCUUUCAUUGAUAACUUCAUUCCACCACCACCUUCACUAGAAUUUAAGAGUGAUUCUGAAAUGGACAUGUCUGAUGUCAAGAGGAAUCUAAAACGUUUACAUGAGUAUAAUGUAAUGCUAAGGGAAAACUUGGUGGCUAGGCAGUCUCUGCUUCAUUCUCCAUCAUCUAGGCAUUCAUCUCAAGUAAACAGUAAUCAAGGUGAAGUUUAACCAGGUUUUUCUCUGGGGAGUGACGAAGAUGAACUGAGAGCAGGCAUUGGUAAAGAGAAUCAUCAUCGAUGCAUGGAUUUAAUUCUGAUAUGGGAGUUGGUCCUUGAUCGAAACAGUAGUUGGAAGUAAUGAUCAGAAAAUAUUCUGUAUGAACCUCUGAAACAUGUAGCAAUGUAGCAUUCCAGGCUAGAUUCUGCUGCAUUCAAAGCUGCUGGAUGGAUAAAGCAUGGUGAUCAAAGUUUUCAUGAUUUUGUCUGGUAUUCUUUCAUGUUCUUCUCAGAUUGAUCUUUUCUAUGGUCGUGGAUGUACUGUUUGUCAUGAAACCAUAUAGCUGAUGUUGGCAUGGUGUCUGGUAUUCUCAAAUAUUGGUGGAGCUAUUUGCAUGUCUAUCUUGCAAAUUAAUUAGUUAGCCAGCCAUCAAAAGAUCCAUUGGUGCAUGCUAGACCAUAUCAAUUAGGUUGGAAGAAGCAGGUUUGGUGCUGUUGGCGAUAUAAUUGUAUUGAUCCUGGAGCGUAAAAAAGUUUAGGCACAGAUCUCUAUUUAGGUCUCCAUGUGCAUUUUCCUUUCGGGUAGAUAAAUGUGUAUCUUGUUUGUAUUUGCAUGUUUCAAAAGUAAUUAUCAAACACGCCUCAUCUAAAACUAGGCGGCCAUCAUGCAGUAUUUGAAAAUUUAGUCAUAUUGUUCAUAACUUGUAAAUAGUAUUGCUUAUUAUAAAUUUAUAAUGUCUUGUUGUGAUAUUGUCACAUUCCAAUCUGAUUC